GCUUAACACAUGCAAGUCGAGCGCCCGCAAGGGGAGACGGCAGACGGGAGAGUAACACGUGGGAACGUACUUUCAGUUCGGAAUAACCCGGGGAAACUCGGUAAUACCGGAUACGCCCGUAAGGGGAAAGAUUUAUCGCUGAAAGAUCGGCCCGCGUCUGAUUAGCUUGUUGGUGAGGUAAUGGCUCACCAAGGCGACGAUCAGUAGCUGGUCUGAGAGGAUGAUUAGCCUCACUGGGACUGAGACACGGCCCAGACUCCUACGGGAGGCAGCAGUGGGGAAUAUUGGACAAUGGGCGAAAGCCUGAUCCAGCCAUGCCGCGUGAGUGAUGAAGGCCUUAGGGUUGUAAAGCUCUUUCGUCAGGGAAGAUAAUGACGGUACCUGAAGAAGAAGCCCCGGCUAACUUCGUGCCAGCAGCCGCGGUAAUACGAAGGGGGCUAGCGUUGCUCGGAAUCACUGGGCGUAAAGCGCACGUAGGCGGCUUUCUAAGUCAGGGGUGAAUCCUGGAGCUCAACUCCAGAACUGCCUUUGAUACUGGAGAGCUUGAGUUCGGGAGAGGUGAGUGGAACUGCGAGUGU
RNAcentral lists this ribosomal RNA (578 nucleotides) under uncultured bacterium. RNAcentral describes it as "bacterial SSU rRNA". It matches the Rfam family "Bacterial small subunit ribosomal RNA", at positions 46 to 676 of the family's 1533-position model. The record is from RNAcentral.